UACUCAGGUAAAUUGCUUGAUGAGAUGG
This 28-nucleotide non-coding RNA is filed under the name Homo sapiens (human). Lineage: Eukaryota; Metazoa; Chordata; Mammalia; Primates; Hominidae. The record is from RNAcentral.